UACGAAGGGGGCUAGCGUUGCUCGGAAUCACUGGGCGUAAAGGGUGCGUAGGCGGGUCUUUAAGUCAGGGGUGAAAUCCUGGAGCUCAACUCCAGAACUGCCUUUGAUACUGAAGAUCUUGAGUUCGGGAGAGGUGAGUGGAACUGCGAGUGUAGAGGUGAAAUUCGUAGAUAUUCGCAAGAACACCAGUGGCGAAGGCGGCUCACUGGCCCGAUACUGAUGCUGAGGCACGAAAGCGUGGGGAGCAAACAGG
This 253-nucleotide ribosomal RNA is filed under the name uncultured bacterium. RNAcentral's name for it is "partial 16S ribosomal RNA". It matches the Rfam family "Bacterial small subunit ribosomal RNA", at positions 524 to 776 of the family's 1533-position model. The record is from RNAcentral.